AGAGAAGCUUGCUUCUUUUGGAAUCGAGUGGCAAACGGGUGAGUAACACGUAAACAACCUGCCUUCAGGAUGGGGACAACAGACGGAAACGACUGCUAAUACCGAAUACGCUUGGAAGACCGCAUGAUCUUCCAAGGAAAGGGUGGCCUCUACCUGUAAGCUAUCGCCUGAAGAGGGGUUUGCGCCUGAUUAGGCAGUUGGUGAGGUAACGGCCCACCAAACCUACGAUCAGUAGCCGGUCUGAGAGGAUGAACGGCCACACUGGAACUGAGACACGGUCCAGACUCCUACGGGAGGCAGCAGUGGGGAAUCUUCCGCAAUGGGCGAAAGCCUGACGGAGCAACGCCGCGUGAGUGAUGACGGCCUUCGGGUUGUAAAGCUCUGUGAUCGGGGACGAACGGUCCGUAAGCUAAUACCUUAUGGAAGUGACGGUACCCGAAUAGCAAGCCACGGCUAACUACGUGCCAGCAGCCGCGGUAAUACGUAGGUGGCAAGCGUUGUCCGGAAUUAUUGGGCGUAAAGCGCGCGCAGGCGGCUUUCUAAGUCCAUCUUAAAAGUGCGGGGCUUAACCCCGUGAUGGGAUGGAAACUGGAAAGCUGGAGUAUCGGAGAG
Molecule: ribosomal RNA, 612 nt
Filed under: uncultured bacterium
Lineage: Bacteria
Description: bacterial SSU rRNA
Rfam family: Bacterial small subunit ribosomal RNA
Source: RNAcentral